GACGAACGCUGGCGGCGUGCUUAACACAUGCAAGUCGAACGGAAAGGCCCUGCUUUUGUGGGGUGCUCGAGUGGCGAACGGGUGAGUAACACGUGAGUAACCUGCCCUUGACUUUGGGAUAACUUCAGGAAACUGGGGCUAAUACCGGAUAGGAGCUCCUGCUGCAUGGUGGGGGUUGGAAAGUUUCGGCGGUUGGGGAUGGACUCGCGGCUUAUCAGCUUGUUGGUGGGGUAGUGGCUGACCAAGGCUUUGACGGGUAGCCGGCCUGGGAGGGUGGCCGGCCUCAUUAGUACUGAGGUACGGACCAGAGUCCAACGGGAGGCAAUAGUGGGAAAUAUGACACAGUGGGCCGAAGCCUGAUGCAGCAACGCCGCGUGCGGAAUGACGGCCUUCGGGUUAUAAACCGCUUUCGCCUGAGACGAAGCGGGAGUGACGGUAAUGGAUAAAGAAGCACCGGCUAACUACGUG
This 468-nucleotide ribosomal RNA is filed under the name uncultured bacterium. RNAcentral describes it as "partial 16S ribosomal RNA". It matches the Rfam family "Bacterial small subunit ribosomal RNA", at positions 28 to 507 of the family's 1533-position model. The record is from RNAcentral.